This is a long non-coding RNA of Salvia splendens (bonfire salvia), 934 nucleotides long. RefSeq lists it as uncharacterized. The record is from RefSeq and is a predicted model, not a curated record. The transcript is spliced from 3 exons. Lineage: Eukaryota; Viridiplantae; Streptophyta; Magnoliopsida; Lamiales; Lamiaceae.
UUGUGUUUGAAAAUGGCUGGCUUAAUUAUAUGUGCGAGCGGUUGAGCAUUUUUUAUCACAUGCUGAUGAUUUGCUCAAUUUGGUAACCCUAAUAACAAAACCCAAAUCUAUCAUUUCAUCAUAUACUUUAUUGAUUUGGAGAUUUGUAUCUCAAACUAAAGUAAUCUUGGAUCCCAACUAUACUGUGCACAUAAAGUCAGCGGUUAUCUUGCUAUUCAAUCAACUCAAAUUUGCACUACAAUGUCGGUCUCCGGCAUUCAAGGUCAACUUCUCGAGGUCACAGGCAUGCUGGAGAGGUUGGAUUGAUAAUGCACUUUUCUAAUGCCAAAAAGGCAGCGAAAACCCAUCAGCUCCAUCGUAUUCAAAUGCACCUCCACCAGUAGCUUCUUUUCCCCAGGCAACUGCAAGCUAUCCUCCAGCACCUCAUUAUCCUUCCUACCCUCCAAAUUCUGCAGCACCUCACUUAUCCUCCAACUUCAUCAUAUCCGCCACAGUCGGCCUAUCCCCCUCCUCCGCAGGACCCACAUAACUACCCUCUUGCUGGACUACCCUGCAAAUGAAGUCCAAAACUAACAUGAAUCAUUUACUUCUUGGCCCUUGCAGGUCCAUAUCCUCCAGCUCCAUAUCUAUAUCCCCGACCACCAUAUUGAGAUGUAUUGCCCUCGACAAAGUUAAUGAAGAAAACAAACCAGCCAAUAGCUGUCUGGUAGUCCAGCAUCCUGAAGUGUAUAUACUUGGUAUCUACAUCGUCACUCCUAGCUUCAUCGUCUUCCUGAAACAUUUUCGCUUGCUAUGUCGCCUGUACCGUGUAUGUUAUGCAUCCUGCACAUUAUACCUCCAGAUUUUAUUGGAAACUACUUUGUGAGGUAGUAGUGAACAAAUCCCUCAAAUAUUAGUACUAGUUUUUUUGUAUUGCAAUUAUCUUUUUUUCUCA